AUGUCAAUUAAGUCUACCUUUUCCAUUGUUUAAGAUCUCUGUUGUCUUACUGGAUUUCUGUCUAGAGGAUCUGUCCAUUGAUGUGAGUGGGGUGUUAAAGUCUCCCACUAUGAUUAUAUUCCCAUCAGUUUCUCCUUUUAUAUCUGUUAGUGUUUGUCAUAGAUAUCUGGCUACUUCUGUAUUAGGGGGAUAUAUAUUGAUGAUUGUACAUCCCUGACACCAUGGGUACUGGGGUGCUUGGUGACAGAUACCAGCAUCAUCUUUGCCUCUUUGAUAAUGCUCUCUUGGGGGCAUUACCAUGUGAUUUAAAGUUAAUGAUUUAUGCUUACUCCUAUAUGUCUGUCUUCAUACAUCUUCUCCAUUCCCUUUGUCCUCACUCUCCAAGUCUUUCUCCUUCAAGGCUCCUGACCAACCAAGAUAUUUGCCACUGUCACAGUCUUUGUGUAAUCUUACCUUGGGUUAUGGUUUUUUCUACAUAAAGUGGAUAGUUGGGUACACUACCUGAAUCUCUGCUUAUUGGAGGGAUUUCGCCUCACUACUGACUUCAAGACCACUGCUGUGUGUGGCUGAAUCAUCAGUCCAUUUUUAGUGUGCACCCACACACCAAUUUGACUGAUUAAUAAAUCAAGCUUGUUCUUUUGCUUUUUAAGUCACUUACUCAUAAGAGACUCCCAUGUGACCACAGGUGUGAGCUGAAGGAGUGUGCUGGCACAAUAGUAGAUAAUAACAUGGUAGUCUUGGCCACUCAUGCAACUUAUUCAUGUUGACUUAAUCCCUUCUCAUCCCACUAGUGAUUAAUUCCAGAUGUCUCUUCCAUCUUAUUAUAGAUUGUUGCUGGUACCUCCAAAUGUAGAAUAUAGUGCUUAUGAUAGACACUAGUUUGUGACAGGGAGUUUGGGCCACAUGAUUAUUUGAUCCUCCCUAGACUGUGGCCUGUUUCAGAGUCAUAAGCAUGUUAGCAGUUAUUUUUUGAGUUGUACAUAGUUCUUUGAGGUAGAUGGCCUCAUGUAGCUCUAGAAACUGAGCUUAUUAUGCACAGAUUCUCUUAUGCAGGCUUGCCUUAAGUCCCCAAAGAUCUUUUUUUCCAACCACAGAUAUGUACCUAUUAUUAUAUGCAGUUAUACCUGCUACAGAGCUCUUUACUACUCUAGAACCCACACACAUGAGCUGUCAUACUUUCAAGCCACUUAUUAAAUGGGCUGAAAUAGUAUUUAUAAGCAUAGAAUAUGCUGCCUCUAGAGCCCAAUGAAGCUUACCAGGGAUGAUGUCUCCUUCUUUGUGAUAGAAAUUAUGUGAUGCAACAAUUUGCCCUUUAUUUUAGGACAAGAUACAGACUCCUUCAGACUAUAUAAUAGAGGGCAGACAAGGUAAUAUAGCCUUGAGACAAGACCAGAAUUUUAUACCAUUGUCUGUGAAUUCAAACUGCUUCUGAUCCCCCUUCCUGAUUAAGAUGGAAGAAAACACAGUGGUAAUAUACAAGGUACAUGAAGCUGUGUCCAUUUGCCCUAUCAGAGAUACUACAUCUGAUGCCCCAGAUGGGUUAACACAAAUACCUGUUUGAUUUUGCAGCAGUCCACUGUAAUUCAUUAAGACCUGUCUGGAUUUCAUAGGGGUUUUAUUUUAUUGGUUGAUUAAAUGGGGAUAUUAUGAGGACUACCGUAUUUCAUCCUUUUACAUCUUUGAGUAGUACAAAUCUCUACAAAUACUUCCCAUUUGACUUUCCUCAUUAUGCUGUCACUCCAGAAGCCAAGGAACCAAUGUGGGGUCUGUCAACCACCGCGUAAGUCCUUUCUAAUUAUUCUUUUGGUGACCAGGGAAAUGAACCCCAGAUGGAGUUAUGUACCAGUUGUGACCUAGAACUGGGAUAGGAUAUUCUUAAUUUCCUUGCCUCUAUCUGCUCAUGUUAUUCCAACAACUCUAACAUGAGGGUCAUGAUGUGAUGCUUAAGUCUCCACAUAUUAAUGCCAAAAGUCCUCAAAUUAUCUAGGUAUUUCCCUUAAUAUUAUCUGAGGAAAUAGUCAUAGCUAGCUUUUUGGAGAACCAAGUGAAUGAUUACCAUAUACCCUUUCCAUGAUGUUGAAACCCCUUUCUUCAAGGGGAUCACACCCUUGCUUCAGUCAGUAGGUCCUCAAUCUAAGGAUUGACUCAGGUGUGGUAACCCCAAUCAAGGGAUUUUUAUCUUUUUAUUGGUAUAGCUUAGUUCAGUCUCCUGAUCAUGCAUACAUGAUUCCUUUAGGUUAUAUAGAUUGAUAAAUUAUUUUGUUGGCUGCCUGUCUAUCUAUACAGUACCUAUGAUCUCUGUUUAGUAAGUAUCUCCAUAGAAGUGUUCUACAUGUUGAAUCACUCUGGCUACCAUUCUGAUCUUCUCACUUUUUAGCCUUUACUAUAAUCUUUUACCAAAAUAAUUGUACUGCAAUCAUCUCCAGUAAGAUUAAAGCUAAGAGGAAAAGUUUAUGAAUAAUAUAAGUGAUUAAUAUUAAAAAAUUUGCUAACCAUAAAAAGAUGUAGGAAUUCUCCUCUACUGCUGAAUAAAUCUCCUAUUCUGCCUCAUUUCUUUCAAUAGAGGCAGAACACAGAUAAGUCUAAAGAGAUAGAAAUUGGAGCAAUUCAGAACAUGCCCACAAGUUAAUGGCCCUAGCUCCCUCUUCCUGAAAGACCAACCUCACAGUAUUGGGGCCUCACUGGAAUUUCUAAGUAAUCAUGGUGUUGAUCCCAUCUAUUCAGACCCUUAGGGUUUGUUAAGGUUAUUCUUCUAUCUAAACCAGUGUUUUCUCUUUUACAGGGACGUUUUCUCUGUUCAAAUGGGUAAAAUACCAUGGGCAAAAAGAAUGCUUAACUUGUAAAAAAGAAAAAAAUGCUGAACUCAUAAACUUACUUAGAAAUUCAUUCCUAAAAUAUUAACUGUGAGUAAGUCAUUUGACCACUCUUGGACAUAGUUUUCUUAUCUAUCAUGAGUCAAGUCACGUGACUUUGAAGAUUUCCACAUGUGAGUUCUAUUAUUUUUGACAAACAUAACAGGCACAUGGAUUGCCAUCUCUGAUUCAAAUUUUCAGAAAAGCUGUACCAGAGUGGUAGUCAUGUCCUAUUACAUUUUGAAUGAAUUAAUAGGAGUACUUUUAGAGAAUAUUAAAUAUUAUCUGGCUCUUCUAAAACUAGCUCUAUCAUUCUGAUAUUCUUGGGAAAACAAAGAAAACCACAGUGAAUUGCCUAUGGAUACUUUUAUUAAGGAAAUUAACUAUGGAGAAUGAGCAGAUUGUCUCAAGAGAGUCAACUAUGUGCAUGUCUCAUAUAAAUUUUGUCUUCAGUGAAGCUAUGUUGGUAGCUUGAUUUGGGCCUUUGUGGGAGGAUUCCUACUUAGAAAUCAACAAACAUUAUAAUUCAGAUCUUUUUCUUUUUCUUUUAAUUGGAUGCUAAUUAUUUCUACCUGAAAACAAGAAGAUGAAACUAAGUGACCAAAGAAUUACUUAAGAACCUUAAAAUAAAUCUUUCAAGCCAAAAACUUGGGUUCAUUCUGGAAAUUAAAAGUCUGUUUCUUCCGUAGGAACAUGACUAGUGCAAGGAUAGUAAGAUUUCUUUUUAAUCUAAACUGGUGAAAAUAGGAUACUUUCAUAUUCUUAAUAGUUUAAAUAUACCAUCCACGUAAAAAAGCAUACAUAUGUGGAAUCUAAAAAGUACAACAAACUAGUGAAUACGUAAAAAGAAGCAGACUCACAGAUACAGAGAAUGAACUAGUGGUUACCAGUGAGGAGAGGGAAUGGGGAAGGACAAUAAAGAGGUAGAGUGAAAAAAGUUACUAUUUGAUUAUAUGAAAUCAUCUUUAUUAAAACCCUGAUAAUUGUAAACACUAUAGAACUUAAACCUUUCAUUUAGUUAAAAAAGGCAUAUAUGAGUGAAACUCAAAGGCCUUAUUCUAUUUGUAAGCAGUAAAUUUUAGCUUAUAUUCUCUAAAUUGGAGGCAACAGAAUUGAGUAUUAUCAUUAAAUUACUAGAAUACAUUUUGACUGGAAAUCUGUUCUGAGUGAUAUGUCCUGUAACCUUCAAGAAAAGAAAUUAUCCACUGGGAUUCCUAUAGUUAAGAGAUUAGAUUAUAUUGGUCUUCCAAUCUUUUGCUUCUUUCUCUUAUUGUUCUGUUGCCUCUGUCUUUAUCAUCAGCUUCUAAUUGAGGAUGGACAGGGUGGAAUGAAAAGGCAAAUCUCUAUUCUGUCAGUUUUUUCUGUCUGUAAUGGGUUUCUAAAACGGUUUGGUAGAAAUAACAUAAAAAUCUUUGAAGUAUAUUAGUAAUUAUUAAAAAUACCAAUUAUUUAUAAUUCCUCUGCCCCCAGUUCCAGUAUAUGUCAUUGACACUGAAGAGUAAUAUUUGUUGCUGUUGUUUUAAUGACUUGCUUGGACAACUAUUAAUUGUAAUAAUUGCCUGAACCAUGCAUUUUGACACUUGAUAAUAUCUAAAUCAAGUUUGUUAACACUGCUUAGUAUUGUCUUCAUCGUUGAUAUGCAAAAAUGAUGUUUCUGCCAAAAGAAUACUUGUGAUACUUCAUGGGUAUCCAACCAGAGCAAUCAGAGUUAUAAGUAAAUACUAUGAAAUCAAUAAUAAAUACCCAAUCAGAUGAAGCUAUGAUGAUUGCUUCUGAUCCAAAAGGAUUGGAUUUAGUAAGGUACUAUUUAGAGGUUGAUUACAUUCUUUAUUAAGAAAUUGCCUGAAAUUUGGGUGAGCUAAGAGGUGACUGAAUUGCCUUUUUAGGUAAGAUAAUGAAGGAGGGCUGCUGCUCCUCCCUUACAGAAAAUUUAAGAAGCUGCUUAAAACAGUUUUUUGUGCUAUCAAAAUACAUAUUCAUUAUUCAUGCUUAAAUGUCUAUUGUUGGUCUAUAAUAAAAUAGACACUAGAUAAAAAAUAUGAGAGUAAAGCAAAAAUUACUGAAAUAACUAAUUUCAAUGUGUUAUAAAAUAGGAGUUCC
RNAcentral lists this long non-coding RNA (4952 nucleotides) under Sus scrofa (pig). RNAcentral describes it as "lncRNA (ENSSSCG00060003557.1)". The record is from RNAcentral. Lineage: Eukaryota; Metazoa; Chordata; Mammalia; Artiodactyla; Suidae.